CCUACGGGUGGCAGCAGUAGGGAAUCCUCCACAAUGGACGAAAGUCUGAUGGAGCAACGCCGCGUGUGUGAUGAAGGGUUUCGGCUCGUAAAACACUGUUGUAAGAGAAGAAUGACAUUGAGAGUAACUGUUCAGUGUGUGACGGUAUCUUACCAGAAAGGAACGGCUAAAUACGUGCCAGCAGCCGCGGUAAUACGUAUGUUCCAAGCGUUAUCCGGAUUUAUUGGGCGUAAAGCGAGCGCAGACGGUUGUGUAAGUGCGAAGUGAAAGCCCGCAACUUAACCGUGGAAGUUCUUUGGAAACUGGAGAACUUGAGUGCAGUUGAGGAGAGUGAAACUCCAUGUGUAGCGGUGAAAUGCGUAGAUAUAUGAAAGAACACCAGUGGCGAAGGCGAGUCUCUGGACUGUAACUGACGUUGAGGCUCGAAAGAGUGGGUAGCAAACAGGAUUAGAUACCCAAGUAGUC
RNAcentral lists this ribosomal RNA (465 nucleotides) under uncultured Weissella sp. Its description in RNAcentral is "bacterial SSU rRNA". It matches the Rfam family "Bacterial small subunit ribosomal RNA", at positions 338 to 795 of the family's 1533-position model. The record is from RNAcentral. Lineage: Bacteria; Bacillati; Bacillota; Bacilli; Lactobacillales; Lactobacillaceae.